UUCUUCAUUUCCAUCUACAUUUAGCUAAGAUCCUUCACCUCUAGAUAUAAGAUAUUUUUCCUGGCAUAAUUGUAUGGUUUCCCCUUCUAUUAUCAGUUUUAAGCUUCGUUCUUUUGUUCCUCAUUUAGUUGCAAUGUUUUCAAAAUAAUCUCGUGCUACACGACAAAUCAGUACUCAACAUAAUAUGAGUCGGCAAAUCUACAUCGCGUGUUAUCAAUAAGUCUUGGAAACUACUUUUUCCUUCCAUAUUAACUUGUCUUUUACCGUCAUCUUCAAUAUGGUAUCUUUGCACAGAGACAAUAUUCACGGGUUUCGCUUCACAGUUAUUUACUGCGAGCCCUAAUUCUUUAAUAAAUUCAUCCGUUAAAAACUCACACACGCUCCUGUUUCUAGGAGCGCUGCCACUUUUGCAUAUGUAUUAUCAUGAGUAGUGCGAUCUGCCUAACAAAGUUACUCUUGAGAUAUGUUGAUUAUAGCCUUCUUUUCAUUAUUUUUAAGGUCACUCCCUUGUUUGUUAUAGCCUUCUUUUCCUUAUAUUUAUGUGAGGCGGUUACUCCCUUGUUCGUUAUAGCCUUCAUCUUAUUAUAUUAAAGGUUACUCCCUUGUUCGUUAUAGCCUUCAUCUUAUUAUAUUAAAGGUUACUCCCUUGUUCGUUAUAGCCUUCAUCUUAUUAUAUUAAAGGUUACUCCCUUGUUCGUUAUAGCCUUCAUCUUAUUAUAUUAAAGGUCACUCCCUUGUUCGUUAUAGCCUUCAUCUUAUUAUAUUAAAGGUUACUCCCUUCUUCGUUAUAGCCUUCAUCUUAUUAUAUUAAAGGUCACUCCCUUGUUUGUUAUAGCCUUCAUCUUAUUAUAUUAAAGGUUACUCCCUUGUUUGUUAUAGCCUUCAUCUUAUUAUAUUAAAGGUCACUCCCUUGUUCGUUAUAGCCUUCAUCUUAUUAUAUUAAAGGUCACUCCCUUGUUUGUUAUAGCCUUCAUCUUAUUAUAUUAAAGGUCACUCCCUUGUUUGUUAUAGCCUUCAUCUUAUUAUAUUAAAGGUUACUCCCUUGUUUGUUAUAGCCUUCAUCUUAUUAUAUUAAAGGUCACUCCCUUGUUUGUUAUAGCCUUCAUCUUAUUAUAUUAAAGGUCACUCCCUUGUUCGUUAUAGCCUUCAUCUUAUUAUAUUAAAGGUUACUCCCUUGUUCGUUAUAGCCUUCAUCUUAUUAUAUUAAAGGUCACUCCCUUGUUCGUUAUAGCCUUCAUCUUAUUAUAUUAAAGGUUACUCCCUUGUUCGUUAUAGCCUUCAUCUUAUUAUAUUAAAGGUUACUCCCUUGUUCGUUAUAGCCUUCAUCUUAUUAUAUUAAAGGUUACUCCCUUGUUCGUUAUAGCCUUCAUCUUAUUAUAUUAAAGGUCACUCCCUUGUUUGUUAUAGCCUUCAUCUUAUUAUAUUAAAGGUCACUCCCUUGUUUGUUAUAGCCUUCAUCUUAUUAUAUUAAAGGUCACUCCCUUGUUUGUUAUAGCCUUCAUCUUAUUAUAUUAAAGGUUACUCCCUUGUUUGUUAUAGCCUUCAUCUUAUUAUAUUAAAGGUUACUCCCUUGUUCGUUAUAGCCUUCAUCUUAUUAUAUUAAAGGUUACUCCCUUGUUCGUUAUAGCCUUCAUCUUAUUAUAUUAAAGGUCACUCCCUUGUUCGUUAUAGCCUUCAUCUUAUUAUAUUAAAGGUCACUCCCUUGUUCGUUAUAGCCUUCAUCUUAUUAUAUUAAAGGUUACUCCCUUGUUCGUUAUAGCCUUCAUCUUAUUAUAUUAAAGGUUACUCCCUGUUUUGUUCUUCGCUCAUUUUCCGUUUCUUCCACUGCAAGUGUGCAUAUUUAUUUAUUUAUUUAUUUAUUUAUUUAUUUAUUUAAUGUUAUUUGUAGUAGUUAACUGAGGGGGGCACUACCCUGGCCUCCUCUUCCUCUGAUUCUCUUACUUCACACAUUUAUCUUAAUACUUCACACUAUUGUCCAUAUGCUUCAUUUUUUUAUUUUUUCAUUCAUGACUUUUUAUCCAUACCUCACACUUUUCUUAGUAUUUCACAUUUUUUCUAGAUCAUACUCUACACUUCCUACCUGGGGGACGCGGGUUAGGCCUUUAUAAAGUCACUCUAUGGCUGCAUGCCCGCCGCGGCACACCACCACUUUGUAAGGCGUAGAGCCCCGUGCUCCCCUCCAUCCUGGGGUAACAAUCCUAAAACAAACAAACCUGAGAGGCAGGACGCUGCCGCUGCCUGUCACCUGACACCCUCUCACUGAGGAGUGGAUCGCGGCGCGGGUGGAGAGAGACUGCCCAUCCCUCUCCACUCCGCCCGGGAAGGAACUCAUGAAUUCUCGGUUGAGUCGCGUGUGCUACCCAUUGCACUACAGAACAACAGUGGUUGGCCAGAGUUUCCAUUACCAUAUCGUCAAAGUCCAUGUCCUCCGGAAGAACCAUUAAUUAUAUAAUUAAAUCGUCACUAUUAUUUCCGCCACUUAAAACGAGCAAAGCUUAAUGAAAAUAAGAGGCGUUUUCUCGUCAGAGUAAAUUAAACAAAAGCACUGUAAGCACAUGUCCCUAUUUAUCCCUAUACCGCUGCCGCCAGUUUUGGACCCUUCUUUUCUUGUAUUAAAUCAACUCUUUUAUCACUCAUUAAUUACUCC
Long non-coding RNA from Eriocheir sinensis (Chinese mitten crab), 2647 nucleotides. RefSeq lists it as uncharacterized. Lineage: Eukaryota; Metazoa; Arthropoda; Malacostraca; Decapoda; Varunidae. The record is from RefSeq and is a predicted model, not a curated record. The transcript is spliced from 7 exons.